This 306-nucleotide ribosomal RNA is filed under the name uncultured bacterium. RNAcentral's name for it is "bacterial SSU rRNA". It matches the Rfam family "Bacterial small subunit ribosomal RNA", at positions 30 to 337 of the family's 1533-position model. The record is from RNAcentral.
AUUGAACGCUGGCGGCAUGCCUUACACAUGCAAGUCGAACGGCAGCACGGGGGCAACCCUGGUGGCGAGUGGCGAACGGGUGAGUAAUACAUCGGAACGUGCCCAGUAGUGGGGGAUAGCUCGGCGAAAGCCGGAUUAAUACCGCAUACGACCUACGGGUGAAAGUGGGGGAUCGCAAGACCUCGCGCUAUCGGAGCGGCCGAUGUCAGAUUAGGUUGUUGGUGGGGUAAAGGCCACCAAGCCGACGAUCUGUAGCUGGUCUGAGAGGACGACCAGCCACACUGGGACUGAGACACGGCCCAGACU